This 2572-nucleotide ribosomal RNA is filed under the name Lodderomyces metapsilosis. RNAcentral's name for it is "Candida metapsilosis large subunit ribosomal RNA". It matches the Rfam family "Bacterial large subunit ribosomal RNA". Lineage: Eukaryota; Fungi; Ascomycota; Pichiomycetes; Serinales; Debaryomycetaceae. The record is from RNAcentral.
AAAGGUGACAUGAUUUGAAAAAGUUAUAAAUGAUAUUAAUAUUAAUAUAUGGAUACUCAUAAAUUAUAUAUAUAGAUAAUGUAUAUAUAAGACUUAUGUUAUAGAGAGGAUAAAUUAGUUUGGCAUAUGCCGGUCCUAGCUAGAAAUAGUAUAUAAAAAAGUAUGUGAAUUGAAACAUCUUAGUAACAUAUGUAAAAACCAAUAGGGUUAACAGUAGUAUCGGUGAGAGAAUCUGUUGUUGUAUACAAGUAAUACUUUGAAGUAUGAAUAAAGUAGUAUCUACUACUAAUACAUAAACUAUAACAUAAAGUUAAAAGUACUGUAAAGGAAAGAGUGAAAGUAUCAAAUUAUAAAUAAUAAUUUAUAUAAGAGAUAUAAUGAAAUAUAUUAAUAAAGAGCAACUAUAGUAUAGUGUACCUCUUGUAUAAUGGGUCAGUGAGUUAUUUUUAUAAGCGAAAUUUAAAUUAUAUAUAAUAAGAAAAAGUUUAUAGGAAUAGACCCGAAAGCACAUGAUCUAUAUAUGUAUAGAUAUAUAUUAAAAGAAAUAUAUGAUCAAAUAGGUAGAUGUAGCAAUAUCUUCUAAAGAUAUGUGUAUAGUAGUGAAAGGCAAAACUGAUGUGCAGAUAGCUGGUUAUCUACGAAAUAUAUGUUAGUAUAGCCCUUAUAAAAGCGUACACCUUGGUAAAGCACUUAAUACCAUAUGGGAAUAAAUUUAUUUACUAUAUGUAUUAAAUCUCUGAACAAGAGUGAUAUGACAUAUAAGGAGUCAGACUUAUUGCGAUAAGGUAAUAGGUCGAAUAGGGAAUAACCUAGACUAUUAAAUGAAGGUCCCAAAUCCUCAUUAAGUGAAUACAAUCCUAUGGGUAGAUAAAUACCCCAUUAUAUCCCUUAUCGGGAUUAUUUUGAUCAGACAAUUAGUCAGUGGGUUUGAUAAUAAUCACCUGUUAAAGAACAUGUAAAAAUGCACUAAUAGAAUUUAUAUUUAUAUUAUAAAUAUAUAAAUCAAAAGAUAGGAACAAAUAUACGGGUCUAAAUGUAGGAACCGAAUAAUAGAUAUAAUAUUUUUAUAUUAUAUAGUAGUAGAUUAUAUAGUGAUAAGAACUAUAAAGACAAUGCUGACUUGAGUAACGAUAGGUAAUUAAGGAUUACCCCUACAAAACAUAAGGUUUAACUAUAAAUUAACGGUAUCUAAGUAUAUAUAUGAAGAUAUAUAUAUGAUGAUUGAUAGUACAGGAAAAUGUAAUAACCGUACCGCAGUCCGACCCAGGUGUGUAAAUGAUUAUAAUAAAUAAUCAUAAUAUUAUUAAAUAAAUAAAAUAAUAUUGAGUAGGAAUGGGUGAAGUAUCAUAAAUGAACUCGGCAAAUAAGGCAAGGCCUGAAUAGUACGACUGUUUACCAAAAACACAGCUUACUGCAAAUAGGAAACUAUCGGUAUAGUAAGUGAUAUCUGUCCGGUGUAAGUUAGAUAAAUAAAUAAUUGACUUAUAAACGACGGUCUUAUCAUGAGGAUCUGAAAGUAGCAAAAUUCAUUGGCAUAUAAUUGGUGUCCCGCAUGAAUGAUUAUACGAUACUAUAGCUGUAUCUAUGGUAUACCCAGUGAAAUAGUAAUCGCAGUGAAGAUACUGUGUAGUCAUAGAUUGACAAAAAGACCCUAUGCAGCUUUACUAUAUUCUUAUACUGUUAUAUCUAUAAAUAUUUAAAUUAAAUAUUUUUAUUAAUAUGUUUAUUUCUUUAUAUAUAUAACUAACCUUUUCUAAGGUACCAUAUAAGAUGGUUAGUUUCGAUGGGGCGUCGGCAUCACAAAACAUAACUGAUGUGUCUAAAUGAUAUUUUUAUAUUCCCUUAUAUCUUAUUACUUCUUAGUUUUAAUUUAUAAGGUCAUCAUCUUUUUAAGAUAAUAAUAGAAUAAAUAAGUACAGAUACACUAGUAGGCAACUAGUAUAAAUUAAUAUAAUAUUUAUAUAAUAUAUAAUUAAUUUUUUAAUAAGGAUAAUAACAUAACUGUGCUAUGAUAAUGACACAUACUUGUGGAAUUAGUACUUAAGUAUAGUAUAUUGAACAGGCAAUAUCAUUAGAAUUGAGUGUCGAUUACGGAUUAAAGUUACGCUAGGGAUAACAGGGUAAUAUCGCUAGAGAGUUGAUAUCGUCAGCGAUGUUUGCCACCUCGAUGUCGUCUAGACUUAUCCUAUUGGUCGUAGAAGCUAAUAAGGGUACGACUGUUCGUCGUUUAAAAAGUUACUUGAGAUGGGUUAAUUACGACGUGAGUCAGUAAUGAUUUUAUCAUCUAUGACGUUAAUAGUAAUAUGUAAUUAUAUGUGUACGAAAGGAUUAUAUAAUAUAGUUCAAUGGUGAAGAGCUUUGAUUCUUAGCUAAAACUAUAAAGGAUAAAUAUUGAUAGCUUAUAAAAUAUUAAGCCUUACAUAUUCACUAUAUAAACAUUAAAGAUAAUAAUGUAAUAGUAAUAUAUCUAUGCUUUAUUAAUAAAGAGGAUAUAAUAAACUAAUAAAUUUAAUCAUUUUUAAUAACAAAUCAUGUCAUAUUAUUUAUAUAUAUAUAUUAUUAUAUAUUAUAG